GACGAACGCUGGCGGCGCGCCUAACACAUGCAAGUCGAACGAGCGAGAGAGAGCUUGCUUUCUCGAGCGAGUGGCGAACGGGUGAGUAACGCGUGAGGAACCUGCCUCAAAGAGGGGGACAACAGUUGGAAACGACUGCUAAUACCGCAUAAGCCCACGACCCGGCAUCGGGUAGGGGGAAAAGGAGCAAUCCGCUUUGAGAUGGCCUCGCGUCCGAUUAGCUAGUUGGUGAGGUAACGGCCCACCAAGGCGACGAUCGGUAGCCGGACUGAGAGGUUGAACGGCCACAUUGGGACUGAGACACGGCCCAGACUCCUACGGGAGGCAGCAGUGGGGAAUAUUGCACAAUGGGGGAAACCCUGAUGCAGCGACGCCGCGUGGAGGAAGAAGGUCUUCGGAUUGGAAACUCCUGUUGUUGAGGAAGAUAAUGACGGUACUCAACAAGGAAGUGACGGCUAACUACGUGC
RNAcentral lists this ribosomal RNA (467 nucleotides) under uncultured bacterium. Its description in RNAcentral is "partial 16S ribosomal RNA". It matches the Rfam family "Bacterial small subunit ribosomal RNA", at positions 28 to 508 of the family's 1533-position model. The record is from RNAcentral.